RNAcentral lists this ribosomal RNA (550 nucleotides) under Micrococcus sp. RNAcentral describes it as "bacterial SSU rRNA". It matches the Rfam family "Bacterial small subunit ribosomal RNA", at positions 606 to 1155 of the family's 1533-position model. Lineage: Bacteria; Bacillati; Actinomycetota; Actinomycetes; Micrococcales; Micrococcaceae. The record is from RNAcentral.
GGCUUAACCCGGAUCUGCGGUGGGUACGGGCAGACUAGAGUGCAGUAGGGGAGACUGGAAUUCCUGGUGUAGCGGUGGAAUGCGCAGAUAUCAGGAGGAACACCGAUGGCGAAGGCAGGUCUCUGGGCUGUAACUGACGCUGAGGAGCGAAAGCAUGGGGAGCGAACAGGAUUAGAUACCCUGGUAGUCCAUGCCGUAAACGUUGGGCACUAGGUGUGGGGACCAUUCCACGGUUUCCGCGCCGCAGCUAACGCAUUAAGUGCCCUCCUGGGGAGUACGGCCGCAAGGCUAAAACUCAAAGGAAUUGACGGGGGCCCGCACAAGCGGCGGAGCAUGCGGAUUAAUUCGAUGCAACGCGAAGAACCUUACCAAGGCUUGACAUGUUCUCGAUCGCCGUAGAGAUACGGUUUCCCCUUUGGGGCGGGUUCACAGGUGGUGCAUGGUUGUCGUCAGCUCGUGUCGUGAGAUGUUGGGUUAAGUCCCGCAACGAGCGCAACCCUCGUUCCAUGUUGCCAGCACGUAAUGGUGGGGACUCAUGGGAGACUGCCGG